Molecule: ribosomal RNA, 2350 nt
Filed under: Didymium clavus
Lineage: Eukaryota; Evosea; Eumycetozoa; Physariida; Didymiaceae
Description: partial 28S ribosomal RNA
Rfam family: Eukaryotic large subunit ribosomal RNA (bases 1-1348)
Source: RNAcentral
GAGUAACUAUGACUCUCUUAAGGUAGCCAAAUGCCUCGUCAUCAUACACUACUGUCGCUAUCAAUACGUUAUACAGUCUGGAAAGUACCCGAACCUUUGAGGAAGAACUGCGCAAAACCGGUCACGAAACCACUUUGCAGCUGGGACCAAACCUUGUUCCUUCCCCGUGGGGGGUCGGCCACUUUUAUUGCCUUCCAAGGCUUUAAGGCGGAGUCACAGGGGGAGAGAAGGCCGCAUAGUGAGAAAUGGAUGGGGAGUUCCCGUAUGGGUCACUUAGCUUUGGGGAUUACCCCGCUCCCUUAGCUCGGAGACUCGGGUUUUCCCCGUCUGAAUCGCAUCCAAUUGCAAGGAGCGGAGGGGCGGCUUCGGCCGUUCAACCGUGACAUGCAGCCAAGCCAUCCCCCCGGUCUCGGUCGGGGGGGAGGAAGGUCCAGAGACUAAAAGGUGCGGGCGGCCAGGGGGAGAAAUCCCCUCGGUUGCUUAGUGAUAGUCCAUCGACAAGGCCUGCGAGAAGCUGGAGGCGAGUAGCUUGCAGUUGGUUUUUGCCCCUAAAAAGGCGGGAUCUUCGAGCAUUGGCUAGAGGCUUCGCGUGCUGGGUAACAGGCCGACUACCAGAUGUUAAUUUGUGACGCGCAUGAAUGGAUUAAUGAGAUUCCCACUGUCCCUACCUACUAUCUAGCGAAACCACAGCCAAGGGAACGGGCUUGGCACAAUUAGCGGGGAAAGAAGACCCUGUUGAGCUUGACUCUAGGCACAGAAGCGAGGUGAUUCUAAAGGUGUAGCAUAGGUGGGAGGACCUGGUCCGACCUUGAAAUACCACCACUUUCGACAUUACUUUGCUAAUGCUGUAACGAAUGAACGACCCCUGGGUCGCUCGGCUGCUUAACUGUGGUCAGGCACCUGGUAAGGUCAUAUUCUAGCGCUAUCCUAGCUAGUACGACGGUUUUGCCCCUGCGGGAUAGUACCUUGGGACCGUGAGUUGGGCUUCCGAGUCCGGCAAACGCUGCUUCUGGGGGAACUGCGGAAGGUACGACUGUCCUCUGCUGGCAUCCGGGCUCAUAAGUCGUGUAGCAGACUAUCUGUGUUGGGGAGUUUGGCUGGGGCGGAAAACUGCUACAUGGCAACGGCAGUCUCCUAAGGUCCACUCAGAGACGACAGAAACGUCUCGUAGAGCAUAAAGGCAAAAGUGGGCUUAACUCGCAUUCUCAGUAGUAAUGUGAAGCAAGAAAUUGCGGCUUAACGAUCCUUAACGUCGGGUGCCAGCCCACGUUUGAGGUGAGAGAAAAGUUACCACAGGGAUUGAGGUAAUAGGUGGGGGAAACUGGGGGUAACCUAUCGAGUACUGCAUUCACCGAUCGGGGGAAACCCUGAUAGCCCGGCCGGCCGGUGUUUUGCGGGAAAUAUGGUAGGUUCCUUCGGAGUCCCCCCGGGGUGGACGGUCUCGACUUUCACGCCUUUCUUCCCGGUCACGUAGCCUUAGGACUCCGGUCUUUUGGCUUAGACUGGGGGGGGAAUGCCGGCCGGCGGCGUGGGGUUAGGCUAUCUGUUCCGUUGGAGUCCCAGAGCGCUCGACGCUCUAGUCCCGGUCCGAGGUAGCGCAGGUUCUCGGAUUGGGGCAACGCGCCCGGUUGCUAGCAUGUGUUCCGAAGUGCACCGUCUCCUUCCGGGGGGGCGUGUCGCCUUCUAAGCCUCCAGGUACCAAGCGUUCCGCGGUGAUUCCGUGGCGUGGAGCUUCUCUCCCCCCCCUACCUUCGGGCUGGGGGGGGGGAGCGGCGGGUAAUAAUCUUGGGGGUUAAGGGCCAUCUAGCAGGCUUCAAGGUCACCCAAAGCUCCAGGACCAUAAUGGCGGUCCUGGAUGUAAUGGCAAAGGUGACUGAGGGUCUCAGUGACUGGAAGGGUGUGGGUGCUUCUUGAAAGCUGGAUUGGGCUAUCCUCACGGAAGGCUCUUUCUGGCCGAUUUUGGCGCUUAAGGAACAGUCUCGCCGACGAUGAUCCCAGGAACAACCCACUACUGCAGGAUUCCUGGGAUAAGGGGCUGAGGGGAGGUUACAAAGCGAGGAAACGGCCGGGCUUUCACGGGCUUAGCCAAAGUAAUCCUUUCUUCCCAAUAUGGUCCAUCGGCAAAACAGGGGCUCGCAAGGCCUCCCGCUGUCCUUUCCCCCCGUUCACUCGGGGAGAAUCGGUGGGAGGGGAGUGGGCUCCUAGGGAGUGGCAAAAAGGACCUUCCUCCGUUCAUUCGGGGGGACUACUUUUCAGGGGCAAAACCGAUCGGCUUAGGAGCGAUCACCCGGGAAAACUGGCUUUGGCGGCGAACUGGCUUGUGGCCGCCAAGCGUUCAUAGCGACGUGGC